GAUCAUUCAUCAUCAACAAUAACUGCAUCUGAGAAUUAUAGUUCUACAGUAACCGUGGAGUCUAGGUCAACAAUUACUAUUUCUCAUCCAAGCCGUUUUUGUUUAACUGCUACACAUUCCCUGACUCUGCCAAGGAAAAGGGUAAAAUCAAAAUGAUAUCCUGAGGACCUAAGCACUGAUGAUUCCACCGUUUCAAGAGCUUAAUCACUUGUCACCAGAUUAUGGAAAAAAAAUAAAGAAGAAAAAAUUAAAAUUCGAAGAUUGCAACAAGCAAAUUUGCGCCAAAGAAAUUGAAUUAGAUGUCUCAAGUCAUUAUUAAAAUACUUACAUGAAAUAAUAACAUGAUUUUAUGGAAAAGCCCAACAUACUACAUAUUUUAUUUGACUUGUAAAAGCACUUGUUUGUAUAUUACUACUAAUAAACUCUCUAAUCUAAUCUAUUGUA
This is a long non-coding RNA of Anthonomus grandis grandis, 444 nucleotides long. RefSeq lists it as uncharacterized. Lineage: Eukaryota; Metazoa; Arthropoda; Insecta; Coleoptera; Curculionidae. The transcript is spliced from 2 exons. The record is from RefSeq and is a predicted model, not a curated record.